CUCAAACCGCCCCCGUUUGCCGCACCGUUCGCAUCGCUGUCGCUCGUCGCCGGAUAAAUCACACAGUUCUGACUUACAAUACGAAACCCGUGCGCGACUUACAAUACGAUCGGAAAAAAAAAUCUGCGGGUGGCUAAUUUACAGCAGGAUAACUGCGGCGGAGACUCGACUCGAAAGACGAAAAUCGCUAAAUCGCGACGCUAACUUGGCGAAAGGCUUAGUUGUUCCGACGACAAGACGCUGCCGUCGCCGCGUGUGUUUUGGAAACAGCACAAAUAAAAAAAAUCAUUUAUCAGAAGCCACUGGCAGCAUAUACUUGAUUGCAAACGGACCCGGCCCACCCACCCCGCGCCCCGAGUGAUAACAAAGAUAAUGCAGUAAAAGUUGCGAGAGCCAGAAACGUGACCCAGGCAAUUGUUUGUUUGUCUGCCACACACGCACAUAAAUGUACGUUUGUGUGUAACUGAGUGUGCUGAGUGUGUAGCGUGUGUGUGAGUCGCCGUUGUUGCGUUUUUUAAAUAAUAAUUAAAUAAUUAACAAAAAUAAAAAAAAAUUACAAAAAUCCAUUUCGAGUUUUUAGCUUGUUAUCGUUUUGAGCAGCAGCCUCUUUGUCUCUGUCUCUCAGUCUCGUUCUCCCUCACACACACGCUUGCUGCCCCCGCGCACCCGUGCGCAUCGUUCAACCCCACAAAACGCGGAAGAGCCAAAAAAAAAAAUACAAAAAAAAAAACAGCCGUCGCCGCUGCAUUUUUUAAGUUCACCAAAAUGUCCUCAAAUCUCAUUUAAAUAAAAAAAAUAAAUAAAAGAUUAAGUGUUUAAUAGAAAAGAAAAUAAAAGAAAAAGAGGCUUGAUAGAGAGAAGAAAAGCCAAACAACCAAAACAGCAACAAAUGGCCAACAAUUGAAUGGCGGCCAUCAGUGGCCCCCAGCGGCAUCCAUUGAGCAAUCAACACCAUUUCUCCCACAUCAACUCAAGCACCGUCACCACCACUGCCACCACCGCCACCAUCACCACCACCACCACCUCGUCCAUCACCGCUAGAACCACAGCAGCAUCAGCAGCAACCACCAGGAAAAGCAACAAUAGCACCACAUCCAUUGCUUCCAUUGCUACCACCACUGAAACCCGCCAGCCACAACAUUUGAGCUCCAGUGCCAGGAAACAAAAGCCAGUGCCAGUGCCAGUGCAGCAGCUGCUCGAAUUAUUUGGAAUACUUGCCGCGUAGUCCAUCAAUGAGCGUUUCGAUGUCCCUUGUACAGGGUGGUGCUGCUGGUGGUGCGCCCCAGGGCGCCAGCGCUAUUUUGGCCGCAGCGGCUCCCUACUAUCAGCCUCCGGCGGUGCCGCAGGAUGUCCAGCCGGAUCGUCCCAUCGGCUAUGGAGCAUUCGGCGUUGUCUGGGCCGUUACAGAUCCCCGGGAUGGACGACGUGUGGCCCUCAAGAAGCUGCCAAAUGUAUUCCAAUCGCUGGUCUCAUCGAAACGCGUUUUCCGUGAACUGAAAAUGCUUUGCUUCUUCAAGCACGAGAACGUACUUUCGGCCUUGGAUAUACUACAGCCGCCGCAUUUGGAUUUCUUUCAAGAAAUCUAUGUGAUAACGGAACUGCUGCAAUCGGAUCUACACAAGAUAAUAGUAUCGCCGCAGCACCUAUCCGCCGACCACAUCAAGGUGUUCCUCUACCAGAUCCUGCGCGGCCUCAAGUAUCUACACUCGGCCCGCAUCCUGCAUCGCGACAUCAAGCCCGGCAAUCUGCUGGUCAACUCGAACUGUGUCCUCAAGAUCUGCGAUUUUGGUCUGGCCCGCGUUGAGGAGCCGGAUCAGGCCAAGCACAUGACCCAGGAGGUGGUCACCCAGUACUACAGGGCACCGGAGAUUCUGAUGGGCGCCCGUCACUACUCCUCGGCGGUGGAUGUGUGGUCGGUGGGCUGUAUUUUCGGUGAACUGCUGGGUCGUCGGAUUCUCUUCCAGGCCCAGAACCCCGUGCAGCAACUGGAGCUGAUCACAGAGCUGCUGGGCACGCCCACCAUGGAGGAUAUGCGUCAUGCAUGCGAGGGCGCCCGCACCCACAUGCUGCGCCGGGCCCCCAAGCCGCCAUCCUUUUCGGUGCUCUACACACUCAGCUCCCAUGCCACACACGAAGCGGUGCACCUGCUCUGCCAGAUGCUGGUCUUUGAUCCGGACAAGCGCAUUUCGGUGACGGAUGCCCUGGCGCAUCCGUAUCUGGACGAGGGUCGGCUGCGUUACCAUUCCUGCAUGUGCAAGUGCUGCUUCACGACCUCGGCUGGAAUGCGCCAGUACACGGCCGACUUCGAGCCCUCCGCCGGCCAGCCCUUCGAUGAUCUGUGGGAGCGUAAGCUCACAUCCGUGCAGCAGGUCAAGGAGGAGAUGCACAAGUUCAUAGCCGAGCAGCUGCAGACGGGUCGGGUGCCGCUCUGCAUCAAUCCACAGAGUGCGGCCUUCAAGAGCUUCGCCAGCCAAUGAGAAUGAGAAUAUCUACUACUACUACCACUACCACUACUACUACCACUACAACUUGCACUGCUGCUCCUGCCGCUGCUCCACAUCGCCGCCGCCUAUACGAUUCAGCCCGCUGAUAUUAAGACGAUUAUGAUCUAGAAUCUACAUAGAAUCCCAGACUCAGAUCAAGAACCCUAGGCGAGCGAUCGAUCUCUCAAAUCAAAAAAUAAAAAUCUAACAAGUAAAGCGCAGAGGAGUCAAGUCACAAGAUACAGAUAACCAGUAAUCUGCCGAAUGAAUAAAUGAAUGACGAAUGAUUAAACCAUGAUAAAGAUACAAUAAUACAGAUACAGAUACAGAUUUACCGAAAAUGAGUCCUCGGGGCGGCAACAGAACAGUCUCUCUACUCCUUUUUAGCUCGACUGUGGCACAUCCCUCGGAGCUGCCGCCGUCGCCUCAUCAAUGGGAAUGACGGCAAAAUGAGGCGAUUGCUGCCUAAAACCGAAACAAAAGCAACUCAGCCAAACAAUAAGCCCUCGCCGAAGUACUAGAACAGGAGGAUCCCCCAGUACCACCCCCAAAAACCAGUCCAAAUCAACCCAAAACCCCACAGAGGAUGUGCAACGCAGCCAGGAACAACGUUUAAAUCAUUUUUUUAAGCGCCAAUACAGCUUUUAAGCGGCGUUUGUCUGUUUAAAAGUUGAAGCAUUCCACCACCGAAAAAUAACUAAACGAAAAACAAAAACAAAAAUAUUUAAUAAUAUUAUAGACAAAACAAAUAUGUAACGUAACUCAACUGAAACUAGUCUAAAACAAAAACAAAAGCAAGCAAUUGUAGUUAAAAAAGCAGCAGCAGAGACACAAAACCCGCAAGUUAAAAAAAAUUAAAAGCUAAAAAACUUAAAAACUAAAAAAAAGAUAUGUAAGCAAAAGAAAAAAAUUGAGAGAAGAUCGGGAGCAGUUUCUACGCACUAAAUGCAAAGCGUAAAGGUCUUAAAUAAUGUUAAUUUAUUGGCAACAAAGAGUAUGUACAUUUUGUUGUGCUUGACGAGAAUUGCAACGAUUUCGAUUCGAAUUCAAACAAAACAAACAAAACACACAAAGAAACAAAACGUUUUAUGUUAAGCUCCUAAGAAAAAAUCUAUGUAUAUGUAAAUUAAUUAGCAACACACAGACAUCGUAUUCAUUAUUAUAUAUAUAUAUAUUAAUAUCGCUUAACUAUUAAAUAUAUCGAGAUACAUAUAUUUAAAAUAAAAUAGUAACAAAAUGCACACAAAUCCCAACAUUUGUUUGCCGAAAAUUUACCUCAAAGCGAGUAAAACCAUAAGCGAAUAGCUUCUUCAGCCACGAAAUGAUUAAUUGAUUUUCUGUUAGCUUACGAUUACAAAAAAUAUAUAUAUAAAGUAUGAAAACUAAAUCUAAUUGUGUGUAGCAACAGCUAAAGUGGUGUACUAAAAUGCUGACAAAAUUUUAUUUCAAAUUAUGCAACUACUUUCAUUUUAAAAACAAAAAACAAACAAACAUUUGAAGCUUCAAUUUUGAAACUGGUUUCUAGAUGUAUACUGACUAAGCGAUGGUCAGAGUUUCCACAACUCGUAUAUAUACACUUAUACACUAUAUAUAUAUAUAUAGCAACUGUAAGCUGACCCAAAACUCAUUAUUAGAAAAAACAAUUACGAAAAACAUUUGAUGAAAUUAGUUCAAAGUUUCAACUGUCGACUGAAAAAAAAAUACAAUACAUAAAUUAAUAUAAAAUAUAUAUAUAAAAAUGAAAAGAUUUCAUCUUACUUUAGUUAUGACAAAUUUCGCUUUGAUAAUAGUUUGUUUUUAAGCUUAUUAACCGUAUUCUAAAUAAUACUUAAACUAACAAGCCGACAAAGGAAAAGAAAAACCAACAAGUGGACGACACACUGCCCCCCAGUGAAUGCGAUCCAGGCGGUCGAACCCAAAACGGCUGCAAAGAUGUAUCUUCAUCUUUUGGGCCGUAAGAUAAGGUAUACCGCCUGGAUCGAUUCGAUUUUAGUUGAUAUAUAUACUUUGCUUUUAGUUGAUUACCAUGUAAUAUAGUUUAAUUUUCGACUAACUACACUUCUGUCUCUCUCAAUGCUCAUUGCUAUUGAUGCUAUAGCUAGGGUGCAGGACAGGAUCGGUUAUAGAGGAUCAAUUGCAACGGCUUCGGCUACCCCGAACAUUAUGUGUAUGUUUAAGACUGAGUUUUCUCAUUUGACGACAAUGACGAUUGAUUAACUGAGGAUAUGCAAUAUAAAAAUUCAACUUUGGUUCGCACGAAGGAGUCUAAAAUAAAUUUUGAUCUAGCCUAUAAGCAUUAAAACGAAAUUUUAAGAAAAAAAAGAAACCCACAAUUGUAUACCGACUAUACAUAUAUAUGUGUGUGUGUGCAUUUGCAUUUGUAAUUCGAAUGUCCUUUGUCUUCAAUGUUUAGAGCAAGAAAUUAUAAAUAAUGCAUGAAUAACAUAUAUAUAUAUAUAUUUAUAAUCGAUGAGAAAAACCAUUUAUGAUGUAGAUGAAGCUCUCGAAAACUGAAGCUAAACUAUAACACUUUUCCUCCACUUGAAUUCUCGUAACUGUGCUGCUUUCUUAUGUAUGUAGUUAUUAAUUGUAGCAUUAUAUAUAUAUUAACCGAUAUAUAUAAAUGUAUGGAUUAGCAUAAAACAAACGAAAAACAAAAAAACAAAAACAUAUAUGAAUUCAAAACUUUCACGGAGAUCUCAUAGCAAAAACAAAACGAAAUGAAAGAAAAGCAAAGGAAGGAAGCAUCGGUGUGCAAGAAAGUAGAGUUUCUUUUCAACUUUUUGUUUAUAAACUAAAGUUUUUCUUAACCAUUUUUAUAUAUGUAUAUGUAUAGAGAGUACCGAUUAGAGAUUACCAGCAGUUUGUUUUUUUGUCACCUCAUUUGAUCCGACACUGACACUGACACACGCACUCGAAUGCAAGCUAAUUUGACAUUUUAACCUUACAAAUCGAUUAUACAUCAUCCUACAUCUAUAAGCACAUAACUCCCCCUAGUUAUACAUACAUAGAGCUUAGGUAGUUUUCGUUCAGCUUAGGCACCGUGUACAUAA
Drosophila bipectinata is the source of this 5536-nucleotide RNA transcript. It is a transcript of the gene named serine/threonine-protein kinase nemo, with no coding region annotated. The record is from RefSeq and is a predicted model, not a curated record. Lineage: Eukaryota; Metazoa; Arthropoda; Insecta; Diptera; Drosophilidae.